Non-coding RNA from Zea mays, 123 nucleotides. The record is from Rfam. NCBI's taxonomy places the organism in Eukaryota, Viridiplantae, Streptophyta, Magnoliopsida, Poales, Poaceae.
GUGGAAGGGGCAUGCAGAGGAGGAGCACGAGCGAGGUGUGGCUGGAAGAAGCAGCCGGGGCCUGUGUGCUAUAUACCCCUCGCAAGCUCUCCUCACUCCUCUCCUGUGCCUGCCUCUUCCAUU